UACAGAGGUCUCAAGCGUUGUUCGGAUUCAUUGGGCGUAAAGGGUGUGUAGGUGGCGCGCUAAGUCGGGUGUGAAAUUUCGGAGCUUAACUCCGAAACUGCAUUCGAUACUGGCGUGCUUGAGGACUGGAGAGGAGACUGGAAUUUACGGUGUAGCAGUGAAAUGCGUAGAUAUCGGAAGGAAGACCAGUGGCGAAGGCGGGUCUCUGGACAGUUCCUGACACUGAGACACGAAGGCCAGGGGAGCAAACGGG
This 253-nucleotide ribosomal RNA is filed under the name uncultured bacterium. RNAcentral's name for it is "partial 16S ribosomal RNA". It matches the Rfam family "Bacterial small subunit ribosomal RNA", at positions 524 to 776 of the family's 1533-position model. The record is from RNAcentral.